UACGUAGGUGGCUAGCGUUGUCCGGAAUCACUGGGCGUAAAGGGUUCGCAGGCGGAAAUGCAAGUCAAAUGUAAAAGGCAGUAGCUUAACUACUGUAAGCAUUUGAAACUGCAUAUCUUGAGAAGAGUAGAGGUAAGUGGAAUUUUUAGUGUAGCGGUGAAAUGCGUAGAUAUUAAAAAGAAUACCGGUGGCGAAGGCGACUUGCUGGACUUCAACUGACGCUGAGGAACGAAAGCGUGGGUAGCAAACAGG
This 252-nucleotide ribosomal RNA is filed under the name uncultured bacterium. Its description in RNAcentral is "partial 16S ribosomal RNA". It matches the Rfam family "Bacterial small subunit ribosomal RNA", at positions 524 to 776 of the family's 1533-position model. The record is from RNAcentral.